AUAGGCAUUCUCAUAUGUAGUUAUUUUGAUGGUAUUAUCUUUAUUUCAUCAUAUAAAAGAAUCUUGUUUUCCGUAAAAAAAAAACUUUAAUUUUGUCACAUUUUUAUCUAAAGACACUUAAAUGAGAUUAUAAAAUCUUGAUAAUGCCAACAACUUUAACUUUGGUUGGUAUAGAGAUUUCCUUUUGGUUUCGGUUCAAACGCAAUCGUCAUAUGGUUACAAAUUCAUUUUCUUAUGGUUACAAAUUCACUUUUAUUAAGUAAAUAAAUAAGAUAUUUAAGAUUCAACCUUCGACUUUAACUAUAACAUACAAUAUCCCUAUCAACUAAGCGGAGACAACUUAAUUGUUUAAUUUGGAGUGCAGAUCCUCUCCAUUAAGGGACGAAAUUGCAAUGUCAAUUUCUAUUCAUAAAAACGGAAAAUAAGAUAUCAAUGGCUCUGAUUCAUUCAAAUAUUUAAUUUAAUUUUUUUAAUUAAAAAAACACAGAAAACCACGCCCCUUCCUCUCGACCACACCUCAUCGUACUGCCGCUAUAGUUGUGUUACGUCAUUGUUACUACUCGUAUUCAUGUUGUCAUCGUUGUUCUAAUUCGUAAUCGUUUCGCCGUCAUAUGGCAAUGAGUCUGUUCAUCCAUCCCCUAAAAGAAAUUGGUCUAUUUAUGUCUCUGAGGUCCAAUUCAAAUUGGAAAGAUGCACAACAACUCAGUAACAGAGAAGGAGGAAAUGCACAGUACCGACGGUGCAGGUUGAAGAAGAAGGGUGUGUUGCUGAAAACGAGUAAGGAAAUAUUAUUAUUUUUUAUUUUUGAAAUAAAUAAUUGAUAUGCGUAUUUGUUAGAAGUAAAUCACAGCCAUUAAUAUCUUAUUUUUCCACAUGUCAUGUUUUUUUUUUUUUUUUUAUGAAUAGAAAUUUAGAUUGCAAUUUCCUCCCUAAAUGGAGAGGAUCUACACUCGUGAAUUUGUGAUUAAAAAAAUAAAAAAAUUCACAAUUCUCAACAAGAAUAAUUGAAAAGAAAAUAGAAAAACUGCAAAAUAAUCUAAUCCAUAAGCUCUUUUCAUUUUCAAUAUCAAUUUCUUUCUCUCUCUAAUGUGGACGCAGCAGCAACUUGAAAAUGGUUGCCUGAUCCAAUAAAAAGUUAUUCUGUCAGCAAAGGAUUCACUUUUCUCCCUUUAACGGUAACACUUUUUACUUUCUUUUGCUUUUUGUAAUCUAUGUUAUUAUGUUUGUUUUGUUGUUUUUUCUGGGUAAUCGUCAUUUGGGCUACUCGUUAUACAUUCAGGGAUCAAAAUGACUGUUACCCUGUUGUUUUUUAGUUUUAGUUGAAAAUUUUAAUCAAUUAGGGAUGUGAUUUGGUACUAUCUUUUGGUUUGUUUGUCCAUUUUGUAAACACAGUUGUAAAAUGUUGGGAUUAGCACUAACACUUCAUAUUGAAAAGAACGUAUUAGAUGUCUGACAUGUGUUGGUAUGACACAAACCUAUAAUACAUAGGUACGAUACCUAGUACGGGUACGUUGAUCUAAAACGUCAAGAAAAAGAUUUUUCAAGUGAGUUAAUACAAUUGUUGUUGUAAAAACAUGGGAUAGAAAAAAAUCAAUUAUAAUAAAAAACAGUAGUAUAAUACUAUUCGAAAUUGAAUCACGUGUUUAACCACACUUCUAUCAUCAUGUUUCAGAGAUUUACAUUUUUUGACAAUUUUUUUAAGAGUUUUGACAUACUAAACAACAAAGACACGGUAUUCCAAAUCCAAUGACUAAUCUUACAUACCACCAAGCAUCACUAAUAGGCACACAAAUGCUUUCAUAGUUCCAACAUACUACACAACAACACAUGGUAUCAUCCUCAAUGACAAAGACUCUAAUAUGCAAGGGUUGAUUGACUACAUUAGCGACUCUGACCUGUGUUAGGAAUUGACACAAUAUACAUUUCAAAUAUCAAUCAUUGAUUUCCUUACUCUACUCAUUUUAGAGGCGCCAAAUCAGAAGUAAAUUGGAUUCAAUCUGUUUUUUGAAUUUUUACAAAUUCAUAAUAAAGGUAAUCGGAUAUGCAGUACAAUAUGUUCGAGCUUUGAAUAGGAAUUCGGUGAAUUGGGUAAAGAUCAAAAAGAGCUAAAACUAUGUUGCUGCUGUCACAUCUUUUUGCGAAACUAAAUUUUCAGCAUGUUUAGUGGUUGAUGAAAUAAUUCGGAUAUGAAGUCAUGUUUAGUGGUUUUCAGCUUAUGUACUUUGAGUCAGAGCUUGCUGCAUCAAAUUGUAACAGAUUUCUGACUUGUUUUUCAUGAUUUGUAUUGCAAUUUUAUCCAUUUGAUUGGUGUUUGUUUUUGCUUCUCUUUGGCACAUAUUGUUACUUCAAAUGAAUGUAAUAACAUAUUUUUGUGUUUCUGAAGCAUGGGUACUCCAAACAUGGUGGUGAUGUACCCGUACCGGGUACGCACCCGAAUUGGGUACGUGUACGGUACGAGUACCUUAUGUACCAAGCCGUACACAUGUUUACUUAGUUGAUUCGUCGUGGUAGAUGCAGCAAAAACGUACAGGCAGUGGAAAAAUACCGAAAACUAUUUUGCUUUUUUAUUGUACUUCGAUUCUCUCUCUUGCUUUUGAUGAAAACGGUGGAGGUGGACAAAAAAUGUAAAUCUCUGAAACAUGAUGAUAGAAGUGUGGUUAAACACGUGAUUCAAUUACGAAUAGUAUUAUACUACUAUUUUUUAUUAAAAUUGAUUUUUUUCUAACCCAUGUUUUUACAACAACACUUGUAUUAACUCACUUGGAAAAUCUUUUUCUUGAGGUUUUAGAUCAACGUACCCGUACUAUGUAUGUUCCCCGUACCGGGUACCAUACCUAUGUAUUAUAGGUUUUGUGUCAUACUAACACGUGUCAGACAUUUAAUACGUUUUUUUGCAAUAUGAAGUGUCAGUGCUAAUCCUAACAUUUUACAACUGUGUUUACAAAAUGGACAAACAAACCAAAAGAUAGUACCAAAUCACAUCCCUAAUUGAUUAAAAUUUUCAACUAAAACUAAAAAAACAACAGGGUAACAGUCAUUUUGAUCCCUGAAUGUAUAACGAGUAGCCACAAUGACGAUUACCCAGAAAAAAACAACAAAACAAACAUAAUAACAUAGAUUACAAAAAGCAAAAGAAAGUAAAAAGCGUUACCGUUAAAGGGCGAAAAGUGAAUCCUUUGCUGAGAGCAAUGCCAGUACGAGCCAUUCCCAAGUCGACACCAAGAGAGAACCCUCCUCUCCAUUCUUCAUCUUUCUUCCUCCGAAGCGCGUUUGGAGGAAGUUCUUCCAAAGUUAAUGGUGUUUUUAGAUUUUGGGUGGAAUUUAAUUUUGAUAAAGAUUGAAUUUUUGCAUGAAUUGAAGGUGGAAAUGAGUGGAAGAGUUUCAAGGGCUGCGUCCACAUUAGAGGGAGAGAAAUUGAGAAGAGCUUAUGGAUUAGAUUAUGAGAACUGAUAGCGACAAUUUACUAAAGCCACGUCGCACUUCUUUCAAUUAAAAAACUAGGCAAUUAGAACGUUAAGUUGAUAAUGAUAUAUCGAAUCUACCAAGAUUAACAAAAACACAAGAAAAUGGAUCAAAGCUCUAGCCUCCACCAAGAAAAUGGAUCAAAUGAGAAAGUGUUUCUGCCAGAAUGUUUUUUUUUUUUUUUUUUUUUUAUAAAAUAAGAGUUAGAAUAUCCCCAACAGGCUGAGCCGGUUAACCAGUAAAAGAAUGCCUGACGUGGGAUGAUAGAUGAGCGAGUGCUUGAUGGCGUGUGACAAAGUGACUGUAGCUAGCAGCGCUCUUAGAUUAUUUUGCACUUUUUCUAUUUUCUUUUCAAUUAUUUUUGUUGAGAAUUGUGAUUUUUUUAUUAUUUUAAUCACAAAUUCACAAUACAGUUGAGAUUAAACCAUUAAGUUGUCUCCACUUAGUUGAUAGAGAUAUUGUAUGUUAUAUUUAAAUUUGAAGGUUGAAUCUCAAAUAUCUUAUUUAUUUAUUUAAUAAAAGUGAAUUUGUAACCAUCUUACGAUUGAGUUUGAACCGAAAUGAAAAGGAAAUCUCUAUAUGGAAGUUAAAGUUGUUGGCAUUAUCAAGAUUUUAUCAUCUGAUUUAAGUGUCUUUAGAUAAAAAUGUGACAUACUUAAAGUUUUUUUUUCCACUACAUGUACGUUUUUGCUGCAUCUACCACGACGAAUCAACUAAGUAAACAUGUGUACGGCUUGGUACAUAAGGUACUCGUACCGUACACGUACCCAAUUCGGGUGCGUACCUGGUACGGGUACAUCACCACCAUGUUUGGAGUACCCAUGCUUCAGAAACACAAACAUAUGCUAUUACAUUCAUCUGAAGUAACAAUAUGUGCCAAAGAGAAGCAAAAACAAACACCAAUCAAAUGGAUAAAAUUGCAAUACAAAUCAUGAAAAACUAGCCAGAAAUCUGUUACAAUUUGAUGCAGCAAGCUCUAGCUCAAAGUGCAUAAGCUGAAAACCACUAAACAUGACUUCAUGUCCGAAUUAUUUCAUCAACCACUAAACAUGCUGAAACUUUAGUUUCGCAAAAAGAUGUGACAGCAGCAACAUAGUUUUAGCUCUUUUUGAUCUUUACCCAAUUCAGCGAAUUCCUAUUCAAAGCUCGAACACAUUGUACUGCAUAUCUGAUUACCUUUAUUAUGAAUUUGUAAAAAUUCAAAAAACAGAUUGAAUCCAAUUUACUUCUGAUUUGGCGCCUCUAAAAUGAGUAGAGUGAGGAAAUCAAUGAUUGAUAUUUGAAAUGUAUAUUGUGUCAAUUCCAACACAGGUCGGAGUCGCUAAUGUAGUCAUUCGACCCUUGCAUAUUAGAGUCUUUGUCACCGAGGAUGAUAUCAUGUGUUGUUGUGUAGUAUGUUGAAACUAUGAAAGCAUUUGUGUGCUUAUUAGUGAUGCUCGGUGGUAUGUAAGUUUAGUCAUUGGAUUUGGAAUACCGUGUCUUUGUUGUUUAGUAUGUCAAAACUCUGAAAGAAAUUGUGUUAUUUGUGUUUCAUCAUCAGCCAUCGAUCCUUAUAAUCGUGUAUUUACUUUAGGUUUUGAAACUGCGAGGACAAAAACUCGAGGUCCGGAUAAUGAACAUCGCAGAAGAAGAGGUCUGGAUCUUUUGUCAUGUGUGAGGCUUAAAAUUCGGUUGAUAAAGAUCGGUUUUGUAACCUUAGAGAUAACCAAGAUGAUAUUGAAUUAUAGGAAGCUGAUGAGUUUAUAAUUGGACUUUCAAAGUCUUCUGAUGGAGAGGAAACGAUACAGUCAAACAUAGUUCGUUCUGUUGCUGGAAGGCUUGCUAUUCGAGCUGCUGAGUGGUAAUCCAUUGUAAUAUAGUGUUGACAAUAUAAAUUCUUUUAUCUUUGUUUAUAGAUUCCAAAAUAAGAAAAUGAAUAGAAAAGGGAUGAAUGGUUAAUGUUCAUUAUAUUCUGAUCACAAUUCACAAGCACAUUCUUUAGUGUCAAAUUUGUAUAUUAUAUUCUAUUCUUUUCAUUUUGCAUACUGCUAAAUGACGAGAACCCAGAUAAACCUCCAAUAGUUCGCAAACAUAAAAAGUGAUCUGGGCUCUGUCUGGAUAAAAGCUUAGUCAAGCACUUAUAGCAUAACCGUUUAUCAUCUAAAAGUUUACGCUAUUUCUACAACAAAAGAUAAAAUAAAGGUGAAUUGUUUUCAUAUAAGUUGUUUUCAUGUGCUAUUCUUUUCAUUUUACAUACUGCUAAAUGACGAGAACCAAGAUAUUCCUCCAAUAAUUCACAAACAUAGAAAGUGCUCUGGGCUCUGUCUGGAUAAAAGCUUGGUUAAGCGCUUAUAGCAUAACCGUUUAUCAUCUAAAUGCUUACGAUAUUUCUACAACAAAAGAUAAAAUAAAGGUGAAUUGUUUUCAUAUUAGAUAUAAGUUGCUUUCAUAUUAUUUUGCCGUUCAAAAAAAAAAAUUUGUUUUCAUAAGCUAUCCUGGAAUGCCUAUGGAAAUAAAUAGAAAAUGGCUAAUGAAGUUACCGAAAGGAAAAUCAAGUUACUUAAAAACACAACUGAUUGUUGGUCUUUCGUUACCGAAAGGAAAAUCAAGUUUGGGCUCUGAUGUUUAUUUAGUAUUUGGCAAUAAAUUUGAAUAUUAUUUCUCGCACUUAAUAGAGGUUGGUAAAUUGAUGUAAUUAUUUUGUAUCACAAUUUUUAUUUCUAUGUUAUAUCUCAACUCUAACUUCAGGGGUUGGAGAGUAUAUCUACACGAUGAAUAUGGGACGACAAAUGCCGCCAUAGAUCGAAUGAUCAACAUGUAAGUGCUUUUAAACUUAUUUAUUGUUUGUCUGUUUUGGAUGAAAUGGCACAGUUCAUAUACUACUUGGAUCUUUUCCUGAAAGUGUCGUUUUAUAACUCUGCAGAAUUCGAAUUUAUCUUUUAUAUUUUAUAAAUUUAGAAUUACAUAUUGUAACAGUACUAAAUGAGUAGGCAGAAAUUGAAACCUGCAUGGUCCAUAAUAAAUGCUUAUGAAGAAGUAUGCAUGUUUUUGGGUUACAAAAGAAGUAUGCAUGUUAUUUCUGAAUGUCUUGAGAAAUAUUUCAUAAAUUUAUUUUAAAUCGUUUAAAACCAUUUUGGAUAUAAAGGUGUUUGCCUAGAAGAAAAGUGUUUUACCAACCCUCUCAUCGGUGAUCACUAGUCUCGGAGGAAAUACUUGUAUUUACCAUGCUAUCGACGCUAUAGAGUGUGAAAGUCAAAUUUAUAUUAAUACACACACAGACAAGAAUCCUUUUGAAAGAUUUCAAGAAACAUUUGUAUGGAAUUUAUUACUUUACUGUGGAAUUGACACGCUUAAAACCCUUUCAGGGGCGUGAAUAGGUCUCAGCAGAAGAAACAAGAUGCCUAUGCUGUCGUGAUAAGUGUAUUUGUGAUAUCAUGUUUUUAGGGAAAUUAACAUUUUUGGAAAAAAUAAAAAAUAAUGAGGAAGGGAGAAAUUAUAAUUGAUUAAAAUGACGUUGAUUUCCAUUUUACAAUGGUUUCUAAGGAGAUUUGAAUUUUGUUCCUUGAGGUUACGAGAUCAAACUCUUAGCACUGAGUUGACAUCUCAUGGAUGAAAAUAUAUUUCAUUUAUUAAAAAUAAAAGAAUGUUUUAAGAAUAUAUAUUUUCAUGUUUUUCCUGUUUUGAAGUGCCAAUGAGAAGAGAAGACAAUUAUGGAAUGAUCGUCAUUUUUUUUUGUCUAGAUGUUACUUGAGAGAUAUUUCUCCACAUCAGGUCAGAAAGCUGAACUUGUUGUGCCCAAGAAUCUUGAACUACAAGGAAAACUUAGAAGUGGUCCUCCUAGAGAUGAUGAUUAUUUCUCAGACGAAGAUUAAUCACAUAAUAAAGGAGCUUGUACCAUUCCAUCAUUCGUGUUUUCUAAUUUCAAGUAUGUGUGAGGAAGUUGCAAGAAAAUGGAGGCAUUCCAACAAUUGUUAAUCAACACAAUGAUUUGGUGUGUUUAUAUUUCCAUUACAAAGCUUCAAAUUUAAGGAAGUAUGGGAAAAAAUGUCAAAAUGUGUUAGUUACCGUUUAUUUUGAUGUAAUAGUAAAAAUGGUAGAUAUUGCUAGGGUUGGUUAUUGCAAAAUCAACAUCAGAAUUUGUUUUAAGUUGAAGUUCUUUGUGAGUAAUGCUAGUAUUCAAGGGUCAAUCAGCACAGUCCUACAAGGAGGGUCUUUUGUUGACAAAAUCAAUGGACGUUUUGUGACUGCAAUGAUAAAUGGGUGUAUUUAAUUAGUUUAAUUGAGUAACUUUCAAUGUACAAAAUUUCUGAAUGUUUUUUCUUGCAUUU
This 7769-nucleotide long non-coding RNA is filed under the name Medicago truncatula (barrel medic). RNAcentral describes it as "long non-coding RNA (MTRU_LNC008650)". The record is from RNAcentral. Lineage: Eukaryota; Viridiplantae; Streptophyta; Magnoliopsida; Fabales; Fabaceae.